This 66-nucleotide transfer RNA is filed under the name Gigantactis vanhoeffeni. Its description in RNAcentral is "tRNA-Cys". The record is from RNAcentral. Lineage: Eukaryota; Metazoa; Chordata; Actinopteri; Lophiiformes; Gigantactinidae.
AGCCCUGAGGUGUAUUACAUAUUAGAUUGCAAAUCUAGAGAAGUAGAUUAUCGUCUACCGGGGCUU